AGAGUACAGCAAGGCACCUCUCCAUGCAGAAAUUGCAUAGCAAUCACUCUCAACAUUAGAGAUUUGAACUCCGAUGCGUGUCCAAUUUCAACCUAACAAAUCUUUAAAUAAGUUGGGAUUUUGACUUGAUGGGGUCACACCCAUCUGCCUAACAAGUGCAUCCUUUUCCAAUGAAUCUUUAAGAUUUGGACCUUUACUAAAUUGCGAGGGGUGUGCAGCUGUAGUUAUAUUGUGAGCAGAGUC
RNAcentral lists this unclassified non-coding RNA (243 nucleotides) under Hevea brasiliensis (rubber tree). The record is from RNAcentral. Lineage: Eukaryota; Viridiplantae; Streptophyta; Magnoliopsida; Malpighiales; Euphorbiaceae.